This 656-nucleotide ribosomal RNA is filed under the name Bacillus sp. MR-CH-I27. RNAcentral describes it as "bacterial SSU rRNA". It matches the Rfam family "Bacterial small subunit ribosomal RNA", at positions 46 to 686 of the family's 1533-position model. Lineage: Bacteria; Bacillati; Bacillota; Bacilli; Caryophanales; Bacillaceae. The record is from RNAcentral.
GGUCUAUACAUGCAAGUCGAGCGGACAGAUGGGAGCUUGCUCCCUGAAGUCAGCGGCGGACGGGUGAGUAACACGUGGGCAACCUGCCUGUAAGACUGGGAUAACUCCGGGAAACCGGGGCUAAUACCGGAUAAUUCUUUCCCUCACAUGAGGGAAAGCUGAAAGAUGGUUUCGGCUAUCACUUACAGAUGGGCCCGCGGCGCAUUAGCUAGUUGGUGAGGUAACGGCUCACCAAGGCAACGAUGCGUAGCCGACCUGAGAGGGUGAUCGGCCACACUGGGACUGAGACACGGCCCAGACUCCUACGGGAGGCAGCAGUAGGGAAUCUUCCGCAAUGGACGAAAGUCUGACGGAGCAACGCCGCGUGAGUGAUGAAGGUUUUCGGAUCGUAAAACUCUGUUGUUAGGGAAGAACAAGUACCGGAGUAACUGCCGGUACCUUGACGGUACCUAACCAGAAAGCCACGGCUAACUACGUGCCAGCAGCCGCGGUAAUACGUAGGUGGCAAGCGUUGUCCGGAAUUAUUGGGCGUAAAGCGCGCGCAGGCGGUUCCUUAAGUCUGAUGUGAAAGCCCCCGGCUCAACCGGGGAGGGUCAUUGGAAACUGGGGAACUUGAGUGCAGAAGAGAAGAGUGGAAUUCCACGUGUAGCGUGAAA